GAUGAACGCUGGCGGCGUGCCUAAUACAUGCAAGUCGAGCGAACAGACGAGGAGCUUGCUCCUCUGACGUUAGCGGCGGACGGGUGAGUAACACGUGGAUAACCUACCUAUAAGACUGGGAUAACUUCGGGAAACCGGAGCUAAUACCGGAUAAUAUAUUGAACCGCAUGGUUCAAUAGUGAAAGACGGUUUUGCUGUCACUUAUAGAUGGAUCCGCGCCGCAUUAGCUAGUUGGUAAGGUAACGGCUUACCAAGGCAACGAUGCGUAGCCGACCUGAGAGGGUGAUCGGCCACACUGGAACUGAGACACGGUCCAGACUCCUACGGGAGGCAGCAGUAGGGAAUCUUCCGCAAUGGGCGAAAGCCUGACGGAGCAACGCCGCGUGAGUGAUGAAGGUCUUCGGAUCGUAAAACUCUGUUAUUAGGGAAGAAGAAAUGUGUAAGUAACUAUGCACGUCUUGACGGUACCUAAUCAGAAAGCCACGGCUAACUACGUG
RNAcentral lists this ribosomal RNA (497 nucleotides) under uncultured bacterium. Its description in RNAcentral is "partial 16S ribosomal RNA". It matches the Rfam family "Bacterial small subunit ribosomal RNA", at positions 28 to 507 of the family's 1533-position model. The record is from RNAcentral.